CCGAUCCGAGCCGAGCCGAGCUGACCACGAAAUGAGCGAGCCAGCGAGCCACGAGCAUUUUGUCCAGCCCUAGCCUCAGGGGCGGCCGGGCGGGCGCACUCCUCCUCGAGGCUCGUUUCCGCUGCGGCGGAGAGGAAUGGGAAGCGGGCGUCGCCUUCCCUAGCGCUCCCUCGCCGCGCCCGCGGCGGCCUCCCCGGCCCCCUGUAUCUUCUCGAUCCGGUAAGCCCCCGAGUCCCUGAUCCCCAAAUCUAUCGUGGUCCUGAUCUUAAUUUUGGAGCCGUGAUGAGGCGCCAGUGGGAUUAUUUCUUGGUUCACGAGUUCGAUUAGAAGCGUAUUUUUUUUGGUUGGAUUCUGAUCAUGCACGUUUAAUCGUAUAUGGAUGAGUUAAAAGACCUAACGCGGCUCAAUUUAGCUCGCCCUUCGCCAACUGGUAGUAGUGGGUACUGGUAGAUUAGAGCAACUGGGGCUUGGGAAUCGGUUCGAUCACAUCACUCGGGUUUCAGAGACCUAACAAUAACUGACAUCAUUUCUUAUUAGUUUACGUACACGUGGUUCCAUGUCAAGUUGUCAACCAAUCACUUGCGAUUUCAGUUCCUCGUAGACCGCAACUAACGAUUGGUCAGGGCUUCAGGCCAUCCAUCGACCCCAAACCCACGUUCUCUAGAUUCUAUAGUGCAGCUUUGUUUGUUAAUUAUCCUUAAUUAUGAGGGGCCUAGAUUCAGUGCUCAGUUAUGCACCCCAAGUCAAUCUCUCGCAACUAUAUUAUGUGCAUGCAUCUUAAAUAAAUAAAGUCCGGUCCCCUCUGUUUUCAACUGAUGAAUAGAUAAACUAUAGCCUUGCAAAGGAGACUUGGAUUCCGUAUACGUUCCGGUUUUGCAUGUGCAUCUUACCUUUGAACUGAUAGAUGAACAUGCGUAGUUUAAAUCAUAAGAAUUGGUGAGCAGUACUGUUUUGACGUACCUGUUUUCUGACGGGGCAUCCUGCUGCCACUGUACACCGGUAGUAGGCGCGGGGGCACGGGUUCCCCUUGGCUACCUUCUGCCCGUACUUUCUCCAUUGGCAUCCGUCGUUCAUCUGAUCAACAAUCCAAAGCACAUGUUCACGCUGUAGCUACUUCCGAUACAUGCAUAUCAAGCAGACAUCUAUGAUACGUGCAUCUCUGUCGGAUGAAAUACACAUGUCUACGACAACAUACCGUUGGUGCAUCACACCUUGCCCUUACGGACACCCUUGUCUUCUUGGUCUGUGGCAGCAGUGGGCCUACGUCGUCGUCAUCCUCAGGUUCCGUGGCGCCGACGUUCCUCGACUUCUUCUGCGUGUUGCUUGGCAGCCAUUGCCGGUCUGCUGCCUCCGUGGUGUCGUCGUCCUUGGCGUCCUCGGAGCUAGCUUCAGGGCUCAAGGUCGUCACAUCGGGCUGGACCUUUCCAGUGUUAUUAGCCGCGCCAUCGUCAUCUUUGCGGGCUGAUGAUGACAGUCCGAGUGACAGGCCUUCUUCUUCUUUAACACCCAUCAUCAAGUAGUCUUCCCUCCAUUUUCCUUCGGCAGCACUGAUGAUGACGCUCUUCUCUUCCUUCUUGUGCGUGCCUGUGCCCGUGCCGAGGCUCAGCGAGACGAAUUCGGACUCCUCGAUGCCGGUGGGUGGCGUGAUGGUCGAGGGCCGGUGGUCAGCAAGCUUCUUCUCCAUGGGUUCUCCUUUUUGAAGAACGUCGUGGAACUGUAAUUGGAGAGACCGGUAGUCCUCUACGAUGCGUGACAGCAUUGUCUUUAGCCUCUUGUUCUCUUCUCUUACCUCACCCAUCUCUGCCCUUGUGGAUGCAAGGUUAUCUUUGUCGACCUGAAGACAUCACAAAUGCACAGCUAUGAGAUCGGUAGCCAUUAAUUCCUUAACCAAGUCACAUACGAUAAUGAACUUCUGAAGGUUAUUGGUAUAAGCACAAUGCCUCUUGACCUUGUUAUGAGCCUUCAAAUUAGUUGAGGUUUGAUUUGAUGCUUCGUCCAUUUCGGACUUUUCCCUUAGGCAAGGGGAGCUUGCCUAGUAAGGCACAAAAAACGGCUGAUCAGAAUAAUGGAUCCGAUAAUAUAAUAAGGUAAAGAAACUAGAAUUAAUCCCCUCAUGUUUAGCCAUGCAUGAAUUGCUUUCAUGCAUGGUUAAUGGAUCAUUGAAUAUAUAUGUUUAUAAUAACAGUUUGGCACCUCUUUUCUUGAACUUGAUUUGUGUGAGGACUUAAACAAAUUGGCAUCCAGGAUACGGUCAUCAUUUCUGAUCUGUAACAGUAACAUGGAAAGUUGUUUUGGUAAGAACAGCAAAGAAAGCCAUGGAUAAAUAUCUGAGGACCGACUGUACAUAUAUGGGGCGGAGACCAUUCCAGUUUAGUUUCUUCACAUGUUUUUUUGUGUUAUUUACAUAUACACCAGACUUUGUGGUUCCUGAUAUUUGGUUGGGCACUUGGUUGAUUUCGACAUCAGAAUUUGCUCUUGAACAUGCCUUCCUCUAAGGCUUAUUCUCAUUCCAUAUGGAUUGGAUGGAUUAAAAAAAUAUAAACUUUUUUACUUGUUAUAGAUUUAAAUUCACUCAAUCCCGUCUAUAUGGAUUGUGAAUUUGUGAUCGAAACAAAACAUGUCGUAAUCGAUCCUAGUUCCAAUCAUAUAUUCAUAUCUAUAUAUUUAUUCUAGGAGAACUGCAAAUCUGAAGGAAGUCCCUUUACAUAUACUGUAGAUGAAGAGCAACAAUAGAAACUCGCUGUGUCCUGAACUCAUCAUACAUAAUCGAUCGAACGAAAACACAACUAAAUGAAACUCUUGAGAAGUAAAUCACAGACAAACAAAACGAGAAAAAUACCAGACCUCGCUUGUUAACUGCUCCUCGUGGCUUCCAGACUGCUGCUGCCCCCUAAACAUCUCUCUCCUCUUUGACAGAAGCUAGCUAAUAACUGCCUAACUUCCCUCUAGCUCAUCCAGUUCUCUCUCUUCAGAUCUCUUUGUUCCUGCAGCGGUCUAUUGCUUAUAAAGAUAGGCCGCUGCUGCACAGCCUCGUGCGUGUCUCUCUCUCUCCUAUUUGGACUUUGGCAUAAAAGAAGUCGUAUCGUAACCCGGUGCUAACCUAUGUUAGGCGGUCAACGUCUGAUAAUGUCAAAUAUCUAUCGCUGCACUCUUCCAUGGCUUCUUUUAUGUGGAUUUCAACGUGUGCAACAUGUUGCUCUUGUUUUUUUUUGGCUGCGUCCAGAGUCCAGACUGCAUGCGUACGGCCAGCUGGACUGGAGGAGCGCGGGCCGGUCCACAGUUAAUGUCCGUAUGAAGCUUCCCAGGAGUCGUCACAUCAGCCGACCAUUAGAAAACUGUCUUAACAUGGAAGAACUUGAUUUUCAAAGUUUCAAACGUUGGACCUUUAAACAAUAGGGUGCUUUAUAGGCAACCGGUAAUUUGGUACCCAUAGGAUAUAUAGUACCCAUAAAGCUAGCCGUCUUUUUUUUGAUAUUUAGCCUUUUUUUGAAAAAGUUUUUUACAAGUAUAUCCUUUUCGGUUUAAAUUCAGAAAAUAGACUCUUACCUCGACACCAUCACUAUUGGCACCGAGGUUACAUGACGCCAAUAUAGAUGACACCGAGGUAUCGCUCCGGAGCGCCGAUGUGGCGCCUACGUGCCAGGAGUCGGCGCCGUCACUAUUGGCGCCGACCCUGGCCUGUCGCCCACAAACUACCACUCAGCCUUGGCUCGUGCGUGUGUUAUAUAUACACACACUUAUAUAUAUAUAUAUAUUCGUCGAACCUGUGAGAUGAAUUUGCAAACAAUACUUAUGCAUGAAGCAAUUUGUGUUUUUCUUUUAGCUAUUCACGCAGAUGUUGACUAAACUUAUUAGUUGCAUGCGCUUAUACAACAUGGUUCAUAAUUUUAGCGAUCAACCAUCAAUCCAUAAUUUCUAGCAAUCAGCGGUUGAUACCUAAUAAGGGUUGCUAAAAAUUAACCGUCGUGUAUAACGAACCUUACAAGGUGUCACACAAUUUCCAUGCUAUUACCCUUUGAGUAGGUCUAUAUAACUCAAUUUUAUUGAAGUUAAGCACAAAUAUAUAUAUAUAUAUAUAUAUAUGUGUGUCACUUGUUCUCAAAUGUUAUGAAUCAAGAACAAGACAACACAAUCGUUAAAGAUUAAGGAUCUUCGUCUUCCGAAACAUUAUCUCCACAUAGGGAUAAUACUCAUCAGACGAAGAUCAAGAAAGACUUGCCUUUAUUACUUAAUACGUGAAUAGAAAUACGAAAGGAUAAAGACGAAGACAGGAUCUUAUUAAUUCAUUUAUAUUCGUAUUCCAUAAAACAUAAAUAAAUAUUCAACAAUAUUAAUAUUACAUUGAUACCUUCGGCUUGCUCGAAGGUGUGAAUGCGGGUGGGUGAUUACAAUUCAGCGUGAACAGUACGGUGGUAUUGUCCAUCUAUUUAUAGGAACGGUACAUAGCCCGGGUGAAAUUACAUAUAUGUCCUUGUUAUCCAUUUACAAUCAUAACACAAAACAUUAAGGACUAAAUAGUCUUUGUCCUUUGUUGGGGCGAAGGCGAACACGCUACCCUUCGCUCGAUGCCUUCGCCGCCUCUCUACAUCGACGAUGUCCACAUCCUCAAAGCACGCCCGAACAAGCCGAAAGCGCCGCGUGGAUGAAGACCGGCGCGGUCCUCCUCCGUUCUCUCCGUUGCAAGACGAAGGCUCCGUCGAAGUCUACGGGACCCACGUCCUUACCGCAUCGGGAGGCCCAAGUAGGAUUCGACCCACUAUGAUGGGCCCCGCGCGGAUAAACAUGUUACGGACCGCGUCUGUAAUAGCCUUUUCUGUAAUGACAGAGUGUAACCCCUCUCGUGGGAAUAUUCUGGGGAUAGACCGGGUACUUGAGGGCAUAAACGUCUUUAACAGGGGACGGGUGGCCACUCGAGUGCCUAUAAAUACACCCGUACAGUGCCCUUGAGAGGCUAGAUUAACAGAGCUUUUGCCAUCCCACGUUAAACUUUGCCUGCACUCUUUCCACUUUCCCGUUGGAUCUACUUGCCCAAGAGAGCAAGUUCCAACAUCCUUUUUUGGUCAUCAUUAUACUUGGUCUUCGUCAUCACAUCAAGCCGUAGUUCUGUGGCUAUAGCUUCGUCGUCCAUUUUUAUCACCUUCGGGUUACAUCUUUACCCUUGUUACGAGAGAAGAUCUUCAUUCCGAAGCCGAAGUCUGAUGCAAUAAUCCAUGUCAUACUGAAAAUAUAUAGCCAGUCUCGUUUUUGAGGACCUUCGGAGGAAGAAAGCCCCCAACAUAUAUAUAUACACACACAAACAUAUAUUAUAUAUUUAUACAAAUAAAUAUGUGUCUAUAUAUAUAUAUGUAUACACACACGUAGAAGCCGAGUCCGAGCGGUCGUUUGCGGUACGUAGGCGCCACAUCAGCGCUUUGGAGCGAUACCUCGGCGCUAUCUAUAUUGGCGCCGAUACGUGUAAACUCGGCGUCAAUAGUGAUUGCGCUAAGGUAAAGGUCCAUUUUCUGAAUUCAAACUGAGAAAGGUAUACUUGUGAAAAUCUUUUUCAAAAGGGCCAAAAAGCAAAAAUGACGGUAAAGCUAGUACCUUGUGGGAAUUUGCAGAUAAAUUGGAGGUUUUGUUCCACGACUUCGGUAGAUAGUUCAACAAUGACUUGUUCUUUACUUAGGGGAAAACGGUAUUGGCAUUCGAUGAAAUUAGAGGGUCACAUACAUCUUUUAUCCGUAUAUCACUAUUUGGUUUAGACUUGAGGAUCGCGUGUGUCUUUUUCAGAGGUCAGUAUUGUUCUUCGAGAAAAAGUCCACUUAAUUCCACCAGCAUGGUAUGAUGGUAGUAGCCCCAAAAUUGAGUUAAUUGCUUUGGAUGCGUAUAUGGACAAUCAUUUAACGUGCAGUUAAGUUUUCUAAUGCUAUAUAUUCUCUGAUAUCUAGAAACAUUUCUCCAAGCUCCAAAUCACAUGUCGUUGACUUGUGAUUCAACAUGUAUCAUUUUUUUUAUUGAGAAAGGUACUAGUAUUAGAGUAGAGGAUCUACAGCCUUUCUUAUGGGUUUACCAUUGGGCUCCCGGAAAAAUCUGUGUUAAUGAAGGAUCUGACAUUUCUUUCUUACUUUCUAAGGCUUUGGUGUACCUACAUGGUUUUUUUUAUUGUCCCCUGAGGCCUGAGGGGAUGAAUCCCCACCUGAAUGUAUAUAUUGCUUUGUGGGCCAACGAACCCGAUUUUUUGUACAGAUAGGGUGGGGGGUGGUGGGGGGGGGGGGGAUCAAUACAUCAGGCUAGAGAUUUAUGGGUUAUGGCAUAUUCAGCACACGGCGCCAAGUUCAGCCUCGGUUUAAUUUGCACAAAUUGCAAAUCCCGGCCAUGGAGGUUGUCUCGCCGUGGAACACCACGCCAUUUCGGCGCUUCCAAAUUUGCCAGCAACAUAGAAGAAUAAAAGUGUUGUAAUGCUUUUGUGGGAGGGUCGGCGAACGUUGCAGGCGCAAAAGAAAGUUACGCUCUUCUAAUGCCUGCUGAGUCAACUGUGAAACAAGGUGAGCAUCGAGUCCAUCCUCAGCAACUGACCGAACACUGACAUCGGGUUUCUUGGCAUGACUGAACAGAGCUGGGAACUGAGUUGCUAAAUCGUCGUCUCCAUGCCAAGCAUCAUGCCAAAACGCUGUCGAUCGAGCGCCCAAUAAUAAUAUUAAGAGACCAGUCGCAGUAAAAAUGACCAAGUAUGUAGAAAUUUAUGCCAUAGACGAAAAAGUUAGAAAGAGCGAAUAAAGUGUCAGACUUAUGUUGUAGCGGAAACAUUCAAAAGAUAAUACGAGAUCUUAAGGUUUAUGGAAACAACACCAAUAAGAUCUUCUCAAAUCUCUCUAACUAAAUAUACACAGAACCGACCGGCGAUUAACGCCUAUCGCAGGACCAACACACGGUAUUCAUAUUUGGUUGUCUAACAAAUUUUAUUAUGAAAAUAGAUUCAAAUAUCUAUCUAUAAUAUUAAUUAUAAAUAUUAAUAUUUUGUUAUAUAUAUUUGGUCAAUGUUAAAAAUAGUUGACUCAUAGGUCGAAAAAUUGAGAAUAACAACUAUUUUUGGACGGAGUGAGCACUUAUACCCUCAUACAAUGUUAGCACUACAACUCUAAAAUCCUUAUGAGUUGUUGACUAUACUUAUAUCCAGUUAGAAAUUAAGACCAGUCGUUUGAUCUUUGUCGCACUGAAUAUAUUACUCAGCUCGAAACUGACAGUGCCUUCAUAAAUGUUUGUUGCCCUUCAGCUGAGCUUUAAUUUUGCAGCAAUUCAAGAAGUAGGUAAAGCCAGUUUAGUUUCAACUGAACAGUAGCUGCACGUAUUUUUCUACAAGUUUGUGCUGCCCACUGAAUUGAUGUUUUACUUACAGCAGUAUUUGUUAAUUUAACUUAUCAGCUAAUGAAAUAUUUUAUUUGCGUAUAAUCUCGUUCUUUUCAUUGUGUCUUGUGAGUCCAGGUCUUUGAUCUUACGUUUGUUUGACUUUAGAAUAAUGAAAAACAAAUAUUUCGCCAGCUCUCUUAUUAUUUGAGCGGUGUGAUAGGUGUACACGCAUGCAUAUGUGUCCUUAUUCCGCUGCUCUGCAUAACUAGACUAGAAAGGCGUUUGACCUGUAGAUUUCGAGUGCUACUUGUAUUUAUACGGUGCAUGUACCAUGUUCCAGUGAAUGCUGCUUCAUCCUUACAGUUGACUGUGGUUCGCGUUUUGCCUGUCUAUGCAAUUCGUUAAUCUCACAGAGUAUCUUUCUAUAGUUUAAUAGACAAUGUGUUUUGGUUAAUGACAGCUUUUAUACGAACCGGUAUGGUUGAUAUCGUUAGUAUUCGGUUUCGGGUUUGAGGUUCUCCUCGUGUAAUUACUCUCUCACCCCUAUAUAAUGAGAUAUCCUAAUUAAUUCAUAUCUAUUAAUAUAACACCCAAUCCCAAGAUAGAGUUAGAAUUUCCCACAUGGUAUAGAGCUAGGUUAGAUUUUUCACUUUUAUCUCGCCUCCUUCCCACCCAAUUGCCGCCGCCCCCUGCCCAGCCCCUGGCCGCCUGCCCUUCCCAUCGGCGUACCCUAGCCCCUUCCCGACGGCGUGCUUCAGCCCCAUAGACGCCAACCCUCUCUCCUAUGCGGACGACUCCGUCGUCGACCUGGCAUGGGCCUAGCUGCCACCACCGGCCUCGACGUAGGCCUAGCCGCCGCCUCCUCCUCCAGCGCGGGCCAAGCCGUGACCAAGGACGAAGCCACUGCCACCGCAGCGGGCCUGCUCGGCCAACAGGUUGUCGGUGCCAGGCCGACCUGCUCGGAUUCCCUUACUCCGGCGCCCUUUGGUCCCCCUCCGGCGUAGGCACAACGCCCCUGCGCACCGCUGCGCCCGCCGGGGAUGGUCUGCCCUUCAUCGCCGGCCUGGAGCCUCUCCAUGACGCCCUCUCUUUCGCACUUGCUGCGCAGCAACAACCUCGUGCCAUCCUCGCUGCGCAGCAGCAAAGGCCUCGUCGCCACCAUCGAGAUUCUCCCUCACUGCUCCCGCGUGGGUCGACACCGUCGCAUCCUCGACGGCUACACCCGCAUCCUCCAGGCUGGUCAUCGCCAUCGACACCAUCUGGGCCGCCUCGUAGGAGCACGAGUGUGUCGCGUCUCUCGCUUGGGAACAGGAGCGCACCAUGGGCUAGGCCAUGACCACUCAGCUGGCCACGGCUCAGCGUCUCCUUCUCGGUCGUGGCACACCGCCACCCUCGGUUAUCCCUGAGGUUUCCCUAGUGCUUCCCGAGUCUCCCCAUGUCUCCGGGCUCGACACUGCCACCAUCGCCACCCUCCAACAUAAGCUUAAUUUUAGCCAUAACAUACAAGAGUCUAACAUAGUUAAACUAUAUGCAACAGUUAGCCGAUCAAGUUAAUUAACAUAACUACCUACGACAUUAUUUGAGUUAACUCUCGGAAGUUAGCACAUUUAAUAAAAAAUAAAAGAAGUAUAAACAUGGUACCUGACGGCGGGUCGCCGGGCAUGGGGGCGUCGGCGGGGCGGGGCGGAGGCGCCGGUGGGCGGGCCGGCUGGGGCGUCAGCGGGCGGGCCGGCGGAGGCGCUGGCGGGGCGCGGUGGUGAGGAGCGCGGCGGGCGGCGGGCAGGCGAGGGCGAGACGGCCGAUUGGCAGGCGGGGGCGCCGACGGUGCGGGGACGGCGGGCGUGGGGCGCCGGCGGGGCGCGGCUGGCGGGUCUGGGGCGCGAUCGGCGGUAGCUGGAAGAAACGGGAGCGAAAAGGAAAGUGAGGAGAAGAUAAGGUUGAUUCGUGGGUUAAGAUAAAAAAUAUAACUUUCUAGAGUAAAGUCGUAGGAAGUUACUUAACUUCCUAGAGGUUGUACAUGUACUCUAGGAAGUUAAUUAACUUCCUAGAGCAGGCUUGUAGGAAGUUAGCUUUUUGUUUGACUGGUCAAAAGCUGAAAGCUAACUUCCUAGAGUAGGCCGUAGGAAGUUAGCAUGGGCAGCUAACUUCCUAGAGGCGGCCGUAGGAAGUUAGCUUUUCGUUUGACUGGUCAAAAGCUGAAAGCUAAUUUUUUAGAGGAGGCCGUAGGAAGUUAGCAUGAGGGCGUAGAAAGUUAGGUUUUCGUUUAACUGGUCAAAAGCUGAAAGCUAACUUCAUAGAGGAGGUCGUAGGAAGUUAGCAUGGGCAGCUAACUUGCUAGAGACAACCGUAGGAAGUUAGCGGCUCGUUUGACUGCACCCGCGGAUCAACAACUGAAAGGUAACUUCCUAGAGGAGGCCGUAGGAAGUUAGCUGCCCAUACUAACUUCCUAGAGGAGGCCGUAGGAAGUUACCAUGGGCAUCUAACUUCCUAGAGGCGGCCGUACGAAGUUAACUUUUCGUUUGACUGGUCAAAAGCUGAAAGCUAACUUUCUAGAGGAGGUCGUAGGAAGUUAGCAUGGGCAGCUAACUUGCUCGAGACGACCGUAGGAAGUUAGCGGCUCGUUUGACCGCACCCGCGGAUCAGCAACUAAAAGGUAACUUCCUAGAGGCGGUCGUAGGAAGUUAGCUGCCCAUGCUAACUUCCUAGAGGCGGCCGUAGGAAGUUAGCGGCUCGCUUGACCGCACACACGGGUCAACAUGUGAAAGCUAACUUCCUAUAACUUUUAUAAAAUACCGUAGGAAGUUAUGUUUAUUUCCUAGAGCUAUCAGUUGCCUCUCAGAAGUUAUUUAUUUUCUACGGUUUGUUAUAAAAGUUGUAGGAAGUUAAAAAACCAUAGGAAGUGUAUGUUUUCGUGUAGUGUCCACGCUCAGACCGUUGGGGUUCACAACAUACGGUCCCUCGUGUCCAUCGUGCUGGACCCGUCGUCCUCCCACUACCCACGCUGGCUCGCUCAGGUGGUCCUCACCCUCCGACGGUUCGCCCCUGCUGACCACGUCCUCGAUGACCCCAUCGCCUCGCUGUCUCUGUCAUGGGUCCAGAUGGACAGCGUGGUCCUCUUGUGGCUCAACGGCACCAUCACCGUUGAGCUGCAGAACAUCGUCCGUGAUCAGGCGGACACCGCGCGCCAGGCAUGGCUCGCUCUUGAGGGCCAGUUCCUCAGGAACUGGGAGGCUCGGGUGCUCCACCUCGACGCCCAAUUCCACCUGUUCUCUCAGGGGACCUCUCUAUGGGCAAGUACUACCGCCAGAUAAAGGGCAUGGUAGACUCUCUCCGUGACCUCGGGAGCCUAUCGUCGAUCGUACCUUGGUGUUGAACCUUCUGCAUGGCCUCAACCCCCGCUAAGGCCACCUGAAGGCUCUCAUCAAGAGGACCGUCCCCUUUCCCACUUUCCAUGCCAUGAGGAACAAGAUUCUCCCCUCGAGGAGCUCACCAUGGAGACUUAAUGAAAGGGAAAUAGGCUUACACCUUUUCCUAAUUAAUUUUGGUGAUUGAAUUGCCCAACACAAAUAAUUGGACUAACUAGUUUGCUCUAGAUUAUAAGUUUCAUAGGUGCCAAAGGUUCACAACAAACCAAUAAAAAGACCAAGAAAGGGUUCAAACAAAGAGAGCAAAAGACAACCGAAGUGUGCCCUGGUCUGGCGCACUGGACUGUCCGAUGUGCCACCGGACAGUGUCCGGUGCACCACCGGACAGUGUCCGGUGCACCACCGGACAGUAUCCGGUGCACCAGGGAACUCAACUCCAAACUGCUCACCUUCGGGAAUUCUGGGAGCCGCUCCGCUAUAAUUUACCGGACUGUCCGGUGUAGCACCGGACUGUCCGGUGCACCAGCGGAGUAACGACUACUAUAGCGCCAACGGUCGCCUGCAACAGCAUUAAAUGCGCUACAGUGCGCGCAAAAGUCAGGCACGCGCCAGAAGACGCACCGAACAGUCUACAGGACCUGUCCGGUGCACCACCGGACUGUCCGGUGGCCCAGAAGACAGAAGCUCCAAAUCCUCAAGCAAAGGAGGGGGAAGGACUACAAGCCCCGCUCCAAGAAAGUUUGCUACAAGUGUGGUAAACCCGGUCAUUUCAUUGCUAAAUGUCCAUUAUCAAGUGAUAGUGACAGGGGCGACGACAAGAAGGGGAGAAGAAAGGAGAAGAAUAGAUAUUACAAGAAGAAGGGCGGCGAUGCCCAUGUAUGCCGCGAGUGAGACUCCGACGAGAGCUCCACCGACUCCUCCUCCGACGAGGACGCCGCCAACAUCGCCAUCACCAAGGGCCUUCUCUUCCCCAACGUCGGCCACAAGUGCCUCAUGGCAAAGGACGGCAAGAAGAAGGUAAAAAUCUAGAUCCUCCACUAAGUAUGCAACAUCUAGUGAUGAGGCUAAUUCUAGUGAUGAUGAGGAUGAUUUAUUGACACUUUUUGCCAACCUAAACAUGCAAUAAAAGGAGAAAUUAAAUGAAUUAAUUAGUGCUAUUCAUGAUAAGGAUGAACUCGUAGAUAGUCAAGAGGACUUCCUAAUUAAAGAAAAUAAAAGGCAUGUUAAGGUUAAAAAUACUUAUGCUCUAGAGGUAGAAAAAUGUGAAAAAUUGUCUAGUGAGCUAAGCACUUGCCAUGAUGUUAUUUCCAACCUUAGAAAUGAAAAUGCCAAACUAAUUGCUAAGGUUGAAAGUUCAAAUGUUUGUGAUGAUUCAAUUACCAAUCUUAGAAAUGAUAAUGCUAGUUUAAUUGCUAAGAUUGAAAAAUUGAAUGCCUCUCUUGCUAGCCUUAGAAAUGAGAAUGAAAAAUUAAUUGCUAAAGCUAAGGAAUUAGAUGCUUGCAAUGUUUCCAUUUCCAAUCUUAGAGAUGAGAAUGAUAUUUUACAUGCUAAGAUUGUUGAGUUAAAAACUUGCAAACCCUCUACAUCUACCGUUGAGUAUGUUACUAUUUGCACUAGAUGUAGAGAUGUUAACAUUGAUGCUAUUCAUGAUCACAUGGCUAUGAUUAAACAACAAAAUGAUCAUAUAGCAAAAUUAGAUGCUAAAAUUGCCGAGCAUGAGUUAGAAAAUGAAAAUUUUAAAUUUGCUCGUAGUAUGCUCUAUAGUGGGAGACGCCCUGACAUUAAGGAUGGCAUUGGCUUCCAACAGGGAGGCAAUGUCAAACUCAAUACCCCCCUAAAAGAUUAUCUAACUUUGUUAAGGGAAAGGCUCACAUGCCUCAGGAUAACGAGGGUUACAUUUUGUACCCUGCCGGUUAUCCCGAGCACAAAAUUAGGAGAAUUCACUCUAGGAAGUCUCACUCUGGCUCUAAUCAUGCUUUUAUAUAUAAGAGUGAGGCAUCUAGUUCUAGGCAAUCAACUCGUGCUAAAUUGCCUAAGAAGAAAACUCCUAUUGCAUCAAAUGAUCAUAACAUUUCAUUCAAGACUUUUGAUGCAUCUUAUGUGCUAACUAACAAAUCAGGCAAAGUAGUUGCCAAAUAUGUUGGGGGCAAACACAAGGGGUCAAAGACCUGUGUUUGGGUACCCAAAGUUCUUGUAUCUAAUGUCAAAGGACCCAAAACUGUUUGGGUACCUAAAAUCAAGAACUAAAUUUGUUUUGUAGGCUUAUGCAUCCGGGGGCUCAAGUUGGAUCAUCGAUAGCGGGUGCACAAAUCACAAGACAGGGGAGAAGAAGAUGUUCUCCUCCUAUGAAAAAAACCAAGAUCCCCAAAGAGCAAUCACAUUCGGGGAUGGAAAUCAAGGUUUGGUCAAAGGAUUUGGUAAAAUUGCUAUAUCUUCUGACCAUUCUAUUUCCAAUGUUUUUCUUGUAGAUUCUUUAGAUUACAAUUUGCUUUCCGUUUCUCAAUUAUGCAAAAUGGGCUACAACUGUCUUUUUACGGAUAUAGGUGUUACUGUCUUUAGAAGAAGUGAUGAUUCAGUAGCAUUUAAGGGAGUAUCAGAGGGCCAGCUAUACUUGUGACAUUGGUUCCUAAGGCUGUAGAAGGCUUUUUACUUGGUUAUGAUUCAAACACAAGGGCAUAUAGAGUCUUUAACAAGUCCUCUGGACUAGUUGAAGUUUCUUGUGACAUUGUGUUUGUAGAGCAAGUUGAUCUUGAUGAGCUAGAUGAUGAAGAGGCUCCAUGCGUCGCGCUAAGGAACAUGUCCAUUGGGGAUGUGUGUCCUAAGGAAUCCGAAGAGCCUCCAAAAGCACAAGAUCAACCAUCUUCCUCCAUGCAAGCAUCUCCACCAACUCAAGAUGAGGAUCAAGCUCAAAAUGAUGAUGAAGAUCAAGAGGAGCCCCCUCAAGAGGAGGACAAUGAUCAAGGGGAGAUGCUAAUGAUCAAGACAAGGAAGAUGAUCCAAGGCCGCCACACCCAAGAGUCCACCAAGCAAUCCAACGAGAUCACCCUGUGAACACCAUCCUCGGCGAUAUACAUAAGGGGGUAACUACUCGAUCUCGUGUUGCUCAUUUUCGUGAACAUUACUCUUUUGUUUCCUCUAUUGAGCCACACAGGGUAGAGGAAGCACUUCAAGAUUCGGAUUGGGUGAUGGCGAUGCAAGAGGAACUCAACAACUUCACGAGGAAUGAGGUAUGACAUUUAGUUCCACGUUCUAACCAAAAUGUUGUAGGAACCAAGUGGAUCUUCCGCAACAAGCAAGAUGAACAUGAUGUGGUGACAAGGAACAAAGCCCGACUUGUGGCUAAGGGAUAUUCACAAGUCGAAGGUUUGGAUUUCGGUGAAACCUAUGCACCCGUAGCUAGGCUUGAAUCAAUUCGUAUAUUACUUGCCUACGCUACUUAUCAUGGCUUUAAGCUUUAUCAAAUGGACGUGAAAAGUGCCUUCCUCAAUGGACCAAUCAAGGAAGAGGUCUAUGUUGAGCAACCUCCCGGCUUUGAAGAUAGUGAGUACCCUAACCAUGUCUAUAAACUCUCUAAGGCGCUUUAUGGGCUCAAGCAAGCCCCAAGAGCAUGGUAUGAAUGCCUAAGAGAUUUUCUUAUCGCUAAUGACUUCAAAGUCGGAAAAGCCGAUCCUACUCUCUUUACCAAAACCCUUGCAAAUGAUUUGUUUGUAUGCCAAAUUUAUGUUGAUGAUAUCAUAUUUGAGUCUACUAACGAAUCUACAUGUGAAGAGUUUAGUAGGAUCAUGACUCAAAAAUUCGAGAUGUCGAUGAUGGGGGAGUUGAAGUAUUUUCUAGGAUUUCAAGUCAAGCAACUCCAAGAGGGCACCUUCAUUAGCCAAACGAAGUAUAUUCAAGACAUUCUCACCAAGUUUGGGAUGAAGGAUGCCAAGCCCAUCAAGACACCCAUGAGAACCAAUGGGCAUCUCGACCUCGACACGGGAGGUAAAUCCGUAGAUCAAAAGGUAUACCGGUCGAUGAUAGGUUCUUUACUCUAUUUAUGUGCUUCACGACCGGAUAUAAUGCUUUCUGUAUGCAUGUGUGCAAGAUUCCAAGCCGACCCUAAGGAAGUUAACCUUAGGGCCGUGAAAGGAAUCUUGAGAUAUUUAGUUUAUACUCCUAAGUUUGGCCUUUGGUACCCAGGGGAUCCACAUUUGAUUUAAUUGGUUACUCCGAUGCUGAUUGGGCAAGGUGUAAAAUUAAUAGAAAGAGCACAUCACGGACUUGCCAGUUCUUGGGAAGAUCUCUGGUGUCUUGGGCUUCAAAGAAGCAAAAUUCUGUCGCUCUUUCUACCGCCAAAGCCGAGUAUAUUUCCGCAGGCCAUUGUUGCGCGCAAUUGCUUUGGAUGAGGCAAAACCUCAGGGACUAUGGUUACAAAUUAACCAAAGUUCCUCUUCUAUGUGAUAAUGAGAGUGCAAUCCGCAUGGCAGAUAAUCCCGUUGAGCAUAGCCGCGCUAAACACAUAGCCAUUCGGUAUCACUUUUUAAGGGAUCACCAACAAAAGGGGGAUAUCGAGAUUGCAUAUGUUAACACCAAAGAACAAUUAGCCGAUAUCUUUACCAAGCCAUUAGAUGAGCAAACAUUUACCAAACUUAGGCAUGAGCUAAAUAUUCUUGAUUCUAGGAAUUUUGAUUGAUAUUUUGCACACAUAGCUCAUUUAUAUACCUUUGAUCAUAUCUCUUUCAUGUGCUAUGACUAAUGUGGUUUCAAGUGCAUUUCAUGCUAAGUCAUAGAUUGAAAGGGAAAUAGAGUCUUCGGCGAAGACAAGGCUUCCACUCCACUCCAUCGAAUUAUUCAUCCUUCGCCGUCACUCCACUCUCCAACUUUGGUAUAAUCUUCACUCAUAUGCUAUUUACCGUACGGGGAGAAAGUAGUUAAAAGGGCUCUAAUGACUCCGUUUUUGGCGAUUCAUGCCAAAGGGGGAGAGAGUAUUAGCCCAAAGCAAAAGGACCGUACCAUCACCAAUUUCAAAAAUUUUAGUCUUUCGAUUUGUUUUUAAAGUAGUGUUUUCAAAUUGGUAUCUUAUUAUUGAUAUAAUUUCAAAUUGGUAUACCCUCUUCAAAAUUAAUAUCUAAAACCCUCUUGAACACUAAGAGGAGGAUUUCAUUAAGGGGGAGUUUUGUUUAGUCAAAGAAAAAGCAUUUGAAACAGGGGGAGAAAAUUUCAAAUCUUGAAAAUGCUUCUCAUUUACCUUUGACUAUUUUGCCAAAGACUUUGAAAAGAAUUUCCAAAACAUUUGCAAAACAAAACAUGUGGUGCAAGCGUGGUCCAAAAUUUUUAAAUUAGAAGAAAGUCAUCCAUGCAUAUCUAGUAGAAAUGAUUAUUGGUUUCAUUCCAAGCAACCUUUGCACUUACAUUAUGCAAACUAGUUCAAUUCUGCACUUCUAUAUUUGCUUUGGUUUGUGUUGGCAUCAAUCACCAAAAAGGGGGAGAUUGAAAGGGAAAUAGGCUUACACCUUUUCCUAAUUAAUUUUGGUGGUUGAAUUGCCCAACACAAAUAAUUGGACUAACUAGUUUGCUCUAGAUUAUAAGUUUCACAGGUGCCAAAGGUUCACAACAAACCAAUAAAAAGACCAAGAAAGGGUUCAAACAAAGAGAGCAAAAGACAACCGAAGUGUGCCCUGGUCUGGCGCACCGGACUGUCCGGUGUGCCACCGGACUGUCUGGUGCACCAGGGAACUCAACUCCAAACUGCUCACCUUCGGGAAUUCUGGGAGCCGCUCCGCUAUAAUUCACCGGACUGUCCGGUGUAGCACCGGACUGUCCGGUGCGCCAGUGGAGUAACGGCUACUACAGCGCCAACAGUCGCCUGCAACAGCAUUAAAUGCGCUACUGUGCGCGCAGAAGUCAGGCACGCGCCAGAAGGCACACCGAACAGUCUACAGGACCUGUCCGGUGCACCACCGGACUGUCCGGUGGCCCAGAAGAUAGAAGCUCCAACGGUCGAACCCUAACGGUCGGGUGACGUGGCUGGCGCACCGGACAGUGUCCGGUGGCGCACUGGACUGUCCGGUGCGCCAUGCGACAGCAGCCUCCACCAAACGGCUAGUUUGGUGGUUGGGGCUAUAAAUACCCCCAACCACCCACCAUUCAUUGCAUCUAAGUUUUCAGCCUUCAUACACCUUACAAGAGCUAUAGCAUUCAAUACAAGACACAACCAAAGAGAUCAAAUCCUCUCCCAAGUCCAAAGAUCAUUCCAAUCAAAUAGUGACUCGUGAGAGAGAGACUUAUGUUCAUUUGAGCUCUUGCGCUUGGAUUGCUUUUCUUCUUCCUUCUUUCUUGUGUUCAACUCAAUUGUAACCAAGGCAAGAGACACCAAUUGUGUGGUGGUCCUUGUGGGAACUUAGUGUCCCGUUUGAUUGAGAAGAAAAGCUCACUCGGUCUAGGUGACCGUUUGAGAGAGGGAAAGGGUUGAAAGAGACCCGGUCUUUGUGACCACCUCAACGGGGAGUAGGUUUGCAAGAACCGAACCUCGGUAAAACAAAUCAUCGUGUCAUCCGCCUUAUUUGCUUGUGAUUCAUUUUCGCCCUCUCUUUCGGACUCGUUUAUAAUUCUAACGCUAACCCCGGCUUGUAGUUGUGCUUAAAGUUUGUAAAUUUCAGAUUCGCCCUAUUCACCCCCCUCUAGGCGACUUUCACUUAACAUGGUUUAAAAUGUUAAGAAGUGUGACAUAUAGCUUUUUAAUCUUUUCAAGUGGUAUCUAGUACUUACAAGUGGUAUCAUUUGAUUUACAUAAUAUGUGCUAAAUUCCAAAUUAUAGAUAACUUACUCCUAAUAUCACCUACAAGUAAUGCUUGCACUCGUGUGGCAUUUCCUUGUCAAGUGGUUUUUUGGCCUUAAUAGUCUAAGUGCAUUUAUCCUACAAAUAUUCAAACUUGUGUGCAAACUUUUAAGGCUGGUCACCCUAUACAUUGAUAUCUCUGAGACUAACAUCUUUUUCAAGUCUAUCAUGUAUGUAGGAGAUUCACUAAAAGAAAAAAAGUUCGUAGAGUAAAGCAAUAUACUUCAACUAACAAGUGUUAUCAUGCACAAAUGGUAUCAUGAACUUCUACAUGUGGUGUCUCUAAACCAAUGUCAUUGUGUAGUCCUUCAUUCGGUAUCAGGAUCUUCAUGUGGGAAUUGCUACGCAUAAGGUUUACUAUUCAUAAUGUGUAUGCAUACAUAUAGUGGGAACUUAGUCUAUAUAAUGUGAGAGUCGAUUUUAUGAUCAGUCUCCUAUAAAAUAGGAGAACCUUCAAAUCAAAAGGGGAGAAGUUUUUAGGUUCACAAAAUUAUUUGCUUGCUUUGAUUGUGUUGUCAUUCACUAAAAAGGAGAUAUUAUAGGAAAAAUAGACUCGGGCCAUUGAUAGUCGAGUUUUGAUGUUUGAUGAUCAAUGUGACCAUUUGAGCUAACAUUAUUUCCUAAUGUUUUAGAUAUAGUUCAAAGGAUGCUCGGGUGUGAACUUAGAUGAAGGCAAAGAGGUGAUCUAGAAGAUCAACGGCUCAAGAAAGACACUAGAAGACUUAUUAAAAAUCUAAACAAUUAUGCAAGGGUACAAGAUAAGACGAAGACAUAUGGAGACAGAAAAAAACAACUUAACAGCACCAGAUAUGUCUAAAGAGGCACAGGAUAAUUAAACUAAAGAUACGAGUGUUACUGUACUGAAAAGUGUGAAUGAAAUAGAAUACUUUAGACAUGCAGGUGUGCAUUAGAUACAACACCCAUACAAGAAUAUGAUGUGUUUGGAAAAAUCCACAAGACACCAGAUGUAUCUAGUGUGCCAACGGAUACCCCACCAGACGAGUAGUUG
Molecule: long non-coding RNA, 18517 nt
Filed under: Zea mays
Lineage: Eukaryota; Viridiplantae; Streptophyta; Magnoliopsida; Poales; Poaceae
Description: long non-coding RNA (ZMAY_LNC005246)
Source: RNAcentral